Molecule: small nuclear RNA, 18 nt
Filed under: Arabidopsis thaliana (thale cress)
Lineage: Eukaryota; Viridiplantae; Streptophyta; Magnoliopsida; Brassicales; Brassicaceae
Description: snRNA_06915
Source: RNAcentral
CCGGGCGGAGCGGCCGUC